CUCUCAUAUACCCCGCGCCUUUGGACGCCAGUAAUUUCUCCUUUGAUGAUGGGAGCUGGAGACCAUGCCAUGAUGUGAAUUGUGAAGCACCUCUAGGAGCACCGCGCAGAUCGGCGCAACUAAUACACCGAAGAAACCAUACUCCGUCCGCCAUCUCGUCUCGCCUUCUGCGGGGGCGCGAGAGAUCAAGUGGCGGUGAUGGUAGCAUCGGCGAGCGCGGAGGUGAUGUACCAGUUUUGCCUCUGCACCAGUUCUUUUCCUUGGUCCUCUCUCCUGGAACGGCGCGGCUGCGGCGACGACGACGUUACAACGCGGCGCGACUGGUCCAGGGAGCAUGGGAAGGCAGACUUAAGGGGCGUAGGGAUUGAGAUUCUGAGAACGCGGCAUACAUCUGUAUAGCCGUGGCUCCCCGCCGUACCCGUCCCCACUGGAUCACCUCCUCAUCGCGCAACUCCCCGCCAAUCUGCGACGCCGCGACCUUAGCUUAUAUCUUUGUCUCAGUCUUUUGGUCUUCAGCUCCCAGGUCCAAAGCAAGCAGGUUCCAUGGCGAGUAGGGCAGCCGCAGUCUAUCUUAAUCCAGGCAUCGACGAUGCCUCAAGCCUUCAACCAUGCCGAUGAAACCUGAAGCCUCAUGUGCUUGUUUGCGCUUUCUGUUUGGCAUCAGGUACAGAUUGUUUAUGGAAAAGGGGGUAGAUAAACAUGUUUUGUAAAUGGUUCAUAUUAUUACCUCCCAUCUUUUUCUUUACAUUUAUUGCUGAAUGAUGGGACUUGUAAAAAUUUAAAUGUAAAGAUAUCUUAUUUCGUGAAAAAACAUCAUGUCAUUCAGAUAA
Molecule: long non-coding RNA, 830 nt
Organism: Triticum dicoccoides
Lineage: Eukaryota; Viridiplantae; Streptophyta; Magnoliopsida; Poales; Poaceae
Exons: 2
Source: RefSeq, a predicted model, not a curated record